GUUAGGAAUAUUGGACAAUGGGCGCAAGCCUGAUCCAGCCAUGCCGCGUGAGUGAUGAAGGCCUUCGGGUUGUAAAGCUCUUUAGUCCACGAAUAUAAUGACUGUAGUGGAAGAAUAAGCCCCGGCUAACUUCGUGCCAGCAGCCGCGGUAAUACGAAGGGGGCGAGCGCUAUUCGGAAUCACUGGGCGUAAAGCGUGCGUAGGCUGUUUUGUAAGUCAGAAGUGAAAGCCCAGGGCUUAACCCUGGAAUUGCUUUUGAAACUACAAGACUCGAAUUCGGGAGAGGAUAGCGGAAUUGUCAGUGUAGCAGUGAAAUGCGUAGAUAUUGACAGGAACACCAGUGGCGCAAGCGGCUAUCUGGACCGAUAUUGACGCUGAGGCACGAAAGCGUGGGGAGCAAACAGGAUUAGAAACCCGGGUAGUCC
This 425-nucleotide ribosomal RNA is filed under the name uncultured bacterium. Its description in RNAcentral is "partial 16S ribosomal RNA". It matches the Rfam family "Bacterial small subunit ribosomal RNA", at positions 354 to 796 of the family's 1533-position model. The record is from RNAcentral.